GAUUCAGCCCUUUGUCGCU
Molecule: small nuclear RNA, 19 nt
Filed under: Arabidopsis thaliana (thale cress)
Lineage: Eukaryota; Viridiplantae; Streptophyta; Magnoliopsida; Brassicales; Brassicaceae
Description: snRNA_01468
Source: RNAcentral